This 513-nucleotide ribosomal RNA is filed under the name uncultured bacterium. Its description in RNAcentral is "partial 16S ribosomal RNA". It matches the Rfam family "Bacterial small subunit ribosomal RNA", at positions 28 to 523 of the family's 1533-position model. The record is from RNAcentral.
GACGAACGCUGGCGGCAUGCCUAAUACAUGCAAGUCGAGCGAACAGAUGAAGUGCUUGCACUUCUGACGUUAGCGGCGAACGGGUGAGUAACACGUAAGGAAUCUACCUAUAAGCGGGGGAUAACAUUCGGAAACGGGUGCUAAUACCGCAUAAUAUCUUCUUCCGCAUGGAAGAAGAUUGAAAGACGGCUCUGCUGUCACUUAUAGAUGACCUUGCGGUGCAUUAGUUAGUUGGUGGGGUAAUGGCCUACCAAGACAAUGAUGCAUAGCCGACCUGGGAGGGUGAUCGGCCACAUUGGGACUGAGACACGGCCCAAACUCCUACGGGAGGCAGCAGUAGGGAAUCUUCCGCAAUGGGCGAAAGCCUGACGGAGCAAUGCCGCGUGAGUGAAGAAGGCCUUCGGGUCGUAAAACUCUGUUAUAAGAGAAGAACAAAUUGUAGAGUAACUGGCCUAGAGAUGACGGUACUUAACCAGAAAGCCACGGCUAACUACGUGCCAGCCGCCGCAGUAA